This 872-nucleotide ribosomal RNA is filed under the name Tricellula curvata. RNAcentral describes it as "LSU rRNA". It matches the Rfam family "Eukaryotic large subunit ribosomal RNA", at positions 74 to 964 of the family's 3401-position model. Lineage: Eukaryota; Fungi; Ascomycota; Leotiomycetes; Helotiales; Calloriaceae. The record is from RNAcentral.
AUUGCCUCAGUAACGGCGAGUGAAGCGGCAAAAGCUCAAAUUUGAAAUCUGGCUCUUUCAGGGUCCGAGUUGUAAUUUGUAGAAGAUGCUUUGGGUGUGGCUCUGGUUUAAGUUCUUUGGAAUAUUACAUCAUAGAGGGUGAGAAUCCCGUAUGUGACCAGUCGCCGCGCCCGUGUAAAGCUCUUUCAACGAGUCGAGUUGUUUGGGAAUGCAGCUCAAAAUGGGAGGUAUAUUUCUUCUAAAGCUAAAUAUUGGCCAGAGACCGAUAGCGCACAAGUAGAGUGAUCGAAAGAUGAAAAGCACUUUGGAAAGAGAGUUAAACAGUACGUGAAAUUGUUGAAAGGGAAGCGCUUGCAACCAGACUUGCACGCAGUUGAUCAUCCGGUGUUCUCACCGGGGCACUCUGCUGCGUUCAGGCCAGCAUCGUUUUUGGUGGUUGGAUAAAGGCCUUGGGAAUGUAGCUUCUUUCGGGGAGUGUUAUAGCCCUUGGUGCAAUGCAGCCUACCGGGAACGAGGACCGCGCUUCGGCUAGGAUGCUGGCGUAAUGGUUGUAAGCGGCCCGUCUUGAAACACGGACCAAGGAGUCUAACAUCUAUGCGAGUGUUUGGGUGUCAAACCCAUACGCGUAAUGAAAGUGAACGGAGGUGAGAACCCUUAAGGGUGCAUCAUCGACCGGUCCUGAUGUCUUCGGAUGGAUCUGAGUAAGAGCAUAGCUGUUGGGACCCGAAAGAUGGUGAACUAUGCGUGAAUAGGGUGAAGCCAGAGGAAACUCUGGUGGAGGCUCGCAGCGGUUCUGACGUGCAAAUCGAUCGUCAAAUUUGCGCAUAGGGGCGAAAGACUUAUCGAACCAUCUAGUAGCUGGUUCCUGCCGA